Rhagoletis pomonella (apple maggot) is the source of this 106-nucleotide long non-coding RNA. RefSeq lists it as uncharacterized. Lineage: Eukaryota; Metazoa; Arthropoda; Insecta; Diptera; Tephritidae. The transcript is spliced from 2 exons. The record is from RefSeq and is a predicted model, not a curated record.
UUUAUACAUAUACAUAUCUAUGUUUGAAUAUCUAAACAAUAUAAAAUAAACACUACCCCUGAGGAUGCUAAAAAAGUUUUAGCGAAACGUCGGGUGAAAAGUGGAA